CAGUCGCCGCGGGAAUACAGAGGGUGCGAGCGUUAAUCGGAUUUACUGGGCGUAAAGCGUGCGUAGGCGGCUUCUUAAGUCGGAUGUGAAAUCCCUGAGCUUAACUUAGGAAUUGCAUUCGAUACUGGGAAGCUAGAGUAUGGGAGAGGAUUGUAGAAUUCCAGGUGUAGCGGUGAAAUGCGUAGAGAUCUGGAGGAAUACCGAUGGCGAAGGCAGCCAUCUGGCCUAAUACUGACGCUGAGGUACGAAAGCAUGGGGAGCAAACAGGAUUAGAUACCCGCGUAGUCCCUGUCUCUUAUAC
Molecule: ribosomal RNA, 301 nt
Filed under: uncultured bacterium
Lineage: Bacteria
Description: partial 16S ribosomal RNA
Rfam family: Bacterial small subunit ribosomal RNA
Source: RNAcentral